CCCUUAGAUGUUCUGGGCCGCACGCGCGCUACACUGAUGCAUUCAACGAGCCUAUCCUUGACCGGCAGGUCCGGGUAAUCUUUGAAUCUGCAUCGUGACGGGGAUAGAUUAUUGCAAUUAUUAAUCUUCAACGAGGAAUGCCUAGUAGGCGCAAGUCAUCAGCUUGCGUCGAUUACGUCCCUGCCCUUUGUACACACCGCCCGUCGCUCCUACCGAUUGGGUGUGCUGGUGAAAUGUUCGGAUCGGCCGUUUGUCGCGGUUUCCGCGGCUCGUGGCUGAGAAGUUCAUUAAACCCUCCCACCUAGAGGAAGGAGAAGUCGUAACA
RNAcentral lists this ribosomal RNA (325 nucleotides) under uncultured eukaryote. RNAcentral describes it as "partial 18S ribosomal RNA". It matches the Rfam family "Eukaryotic small subunit ribosomal RNA", at positions 1470 to 1796 of the family's 1831-position model. The record is from RNAcentral.